AAAAAAACAGAAGAGAACUCCUCUCUUCUCUCUGGGUUAGCCCAGAUUUUGCCCAAGAAGUCGGCCGACCACCGCCACAACCAAGCCGUCGGUCCGCCGUUGCCGGCCACAGCGCACAGUGGUUAGAAUUCCAAAAAAGGUAUAUUUUUUAUUUUUUUAUUUUCUUUUAUAUAUUUAUAUAUAUAACUGUUUUUUAAAGAAAAAUAGAGAAUAUCUAUGUAUUCAUGUAAGUAGAUAAAAAAGAAAAUAAAUAAAAAAGAAAGACAAAGAAAAAAAGUACCCUUGUAUAACUUGGUUUUUUUCUCUAAAUCUGUUUGUAGAUUUUUUUUUAUAUUUGAAUCUUUUUUUAUUGUAUUCAAUAUAUUCCCACCUUACAAUAUAUUUUGUUGGCUUUUUAUAGCCAUUUACAAAGUUUAAAUCUUAUUAUUUUGUAUGCUGUCAUUUCUGCUUUCUAUCUUUGCAGGUGCAAGUGGCGAGGGUGGUGGCGACGCGACAGUGGCGGUGGCAGCAGCGGCGCUUUGCAGUGGCUAGGGUGGCGAUGGCGGCUGAUAAGAAAACCUAGGGGCUAGGGUUUCUUUUUUUUUUCUGUUAUUGGGCUGGUGGUUUUUAAUUGGGUUUCGGUUUGAUUUUGAUUUGAGGUUUGUUGGGUUUGGUUUGGUUUGGACUGAUAGGUUUUGGGUUUUAGUUUAGUUAGGUUGGGUCUGUUGAGUUUAGCUGAUUUGGUUUAAGUUUGGGUUUUAAUGGGCCCGGGUAGAAAAUUGGGUUGUACAAGUAUAUUUUCCAACCAAAUAUUUCAUAUAAAUAAUAAUUUUAUCAUAAAAUUUUUGAAAAUUGAUCAAAAUAUCAUUUCGG
Molecule: long non-coding RNA, 852 nt
Filed under: Gossypium barbadense (sea-island cotton)
Lineage: Eukaryota; Viridiplantae; Streptophyta; Magnoliopsida; Malvales; Malvaceae
Description: long non-coding RNA (GBAR_LNC004400)
Source: RNAcentral